RNAcentral lists this ribosomal RNA (23 nucleotides) under Acleisanthes wrightii. Its description in RNAcentral is "partial 18S ribosomal RNA". Lineage: Eukaryota; Viridiplantae; Streptophyta; Magnoliopsida; Caryophyllales; Nyctaginaceae. The record is from RNAcentral.
WUGAACCUGCGGAAGGAUCAUUG